Molecule: ribosomal RNA, 518 nt
Filed under: uncultured bacterium
Lineage: Bacteria
Description: bacterial SSU rRNA
Rfam family: Bacterial small subunit ribosomal RNA
Source: RNAcentral
UUGGGCGUAAAGCGAGCGCAGGCGGUUAGAUAAGUCUGAAGUUAAAGGCAGUGGCUCAACCAUUGUAGGCUUUGGAAACUGUUUAACUUGAGUGCAGAAGGGGAGAGUGGAAUUCCAUGUGUAGCGGUGAAAUGCGUAGAUAUAUGGAGGAACACCGGUGGCGAAAGCGGCUCUCUGGUCUGUAACUGACGCUGAGGCUCGAAAGCGUGGGGAGCGAACAGGAUUAGAUACCUUGGUAGUCCACGCCGUAAACGAUGAGUGCUAGGUGUUAGGUCCUUUCCGGGACUUAGUGCCGCAGCUAACGCAUUAAGCACUCCGCCUGGGGAGUACGACCGCAAGGUUGAAACUCAAAGGAAUUGACGGGGGCCCGCACAAGCGGUGGAGCAUGUGGUUUAAUUCGAAGCAACGCGAAGAACCUUACCAGGUCUUGACAUCCCGAUGCCCGCUCUAGAGAUAGAGCUUUACUUCGGUACAUCGGUGACAGGUGGUGCAUGGUUGUCGUCAGCUCGUGUCGUGAG